CGAAAGUUUUUAUGAAACUAAAAACCAAAGGAGGAUUUAGCAGUAAAUCAAGAAUAGAGUGCUUGAUUGAAUAAGGCCAUGAAGCACGCACACACCGCCCGUCACCCUCCUCAAGCAUGUAGUAAUAAAAAUAACCUAUAUUCAAUUACACAACCAUGCAAGAAGAGACAAGUCGUAACAAGGUAAGCAUACUGGAAAGUGUGCUUGGAUUAC
This 213-nucleotide ribosomal RNA is filed under the name Sus scrofa (pig). RNAcentral describes it as "partial 12S ribosomal RNA". It matches the Rfam family "Bacterial small subunit ribosomal RNA", at positions 1288 to 1526 of the family's 1533-position model. Lineage: Eukaryota; Metazoa; Chordata; Mammalia; Artiodactyla; Suidae. The record is from RNAcentral.